CCUGCCCUGUGACUAUAUGUUUAACGGCCGCGGUAUUUUGACCGUGCGAAGGUAGCGCAAUCACUUGUCUUUUAAAUAGGGACCUGUAUGAAUGGCAUAACGAGGGCUUAGCUGUCUCCUUUUUCAAGUCAAUGAAAUUGAUCUCCCCGUGCAGAAGCGGGGAUAAACCCAUAAGACGAGAAGACCCUGUGGAGCUUUAGACACCAAGGCAGAUCAUGUUAAGCACUCCUAGCCAAAGGACUAAACUAAAUGAGCCCUGCCCCCAUGUCUUCGGUUGGGGCGACCAUGGGGUAAAAUAAAACCCCCACGCGGAUAAGGGAGCACUUUCCUCCUACAACCUAGAGCUUCCGCUCUAACAAACAGAAUUUCUGACCUAAAGAUCCGGCAAUAGCCGAUCAACGGACCAAGUUACCCCAGGGAUAACAGCGCAAUCCUCUUUUAGAGCCCAUAUCGACAAGAGGGUUUACGACCUCGAUGUUGGAUCAGGACAUCCUAAUGGUGCAGCCGCUAUUAAGGGUUCGUUUGUUCAACGAUUAAAGUCCUACGUGAUCU
Molecule: ribosomal RNA, 552 nt
Filed under: Brachygenys californiensis (California salema)
Lineage: Eukaryota; Metazoa; Chordata; Actinopteri; Lutjaniformes; Haemulidae
Description: partial 16S ribosomal RNA
Rfam family: Bacterial large subunit ribosomal RNA
Source: RNAcentral